CACUACCUUCUGCUGAAUCGACUAAGCGAACACCUAACCAGGCUAACUGAUGGACUUCCUAAGCUAACUUCUUCUUACUGUCCUCCACAUUAGUAACACUACCCAUAGACAUUCUACGAAGGGCGUCACCACUAUGUUGGCUUUGCCUGGAUAAUACAGAACACUCAUGUCGUAGUCUUUUAAUAACUCCAACCACCUUAUCUGAUGGAGGAUUAGGUUUUUUUAAGAGAACACAAACUACAGGCUCUUAUGAUCAGUGAGCACAUUAACUGCACACCAUAUAAAAUAGUGCCUCCAAAUCUUUAAGGCAAACACUACUGCUGCUAACUCAAGAUCGUGAGUAGGAUAUUUCUUUUCAUGAGGCUUAAGCUGUCUAGAGGUGUAGGCUAUUACCUUACCUCUCUACACUAAAACACAACCCAAUACGACUCUGAAAGUGUGAUAAUACACAACGAAGCUGUCAAAACUAUCUGGUAGGGUAAAAACUGAAGCUAUGGUAAGUCAAGUCUUCAACUCCUGAAAACUUUUCUCACAAAAAUCUGACCACUGGAACUUGACUUUCUUCUGAAUCAAUUUGGACAUAGGGGAUGCAAUAGACAAAAAUCCCUCAACAAACCAUCGGUAAUAGCCAACCAAACCCAAGAAACUCCUGAUAUCUGAUAGAGAGAUGGGUCAGGGCCAGUUUCUCAUUGCCUCAGUCUUUUGGGGAUCAACUCUAAUGCCAUCACCGAAAAUGAUAUGUCCAAGGAAUGCUACUGAUCUUAUCCAAAAUUUGCACUUACUGAAUUUGGCGAAUAACUGAUGGUUUCUGAGAGUCUGCAAUACUAUUUUGAGAUAGUCUGCAUGAUUUGUGUUCACUACGGGAGUAAACAAGAAUGUCAUCUAUGAAGACUAUUACCAACAUGUCUAAAUACUGUUUGAACACACGGUUCAUCAAGUCCAUGAAGGCUGCUAGGGCAUUGGUAAAAUCAAAGGACAUGACUAAAAAUUGAAGUGAUCGUACUGAGUUCUGAAAGCUGUUUUUGGGCUGUCACAUUUCCUGACUCUGAGCUGAUGAUAGCUUGAUCUGAGGUCUUUCUUAGAGAAAUAGCUAGCACCCUAAAUUUGGUCAAAUAAGUCAUCGAUUCUGGGAAGUGGAUACUUGUUCUUAACCAUAACUUUAUUUAACUAAUGGUAAUCUAUACACAUUCUGAGGGAACCAUCUUUCUUAUGUAUAAAUAAAAUUGGUGCACCCCACGAGGACACACUCGGUCUAAUGAAUCCCUUAUCUAAGAGAUUCUUUAACUGUUCCUUUAAUUCAGUGAGUUCUGUAGGUGACAUUUUGUAUGGAGGAAUACAUAUGGGCUGAGUAUCUGGAAGGAGAUCAAUUGCAAAAUCAAUUUUCCUUUUGGGAUGAACUCCUGGAAGAUCUUCGGGAAACACAUCUGGGAAUUCAUAUGCUACUAAUUCUAAUUCAAGAGUAAGGGUUUCUGAACUAGAGUCCUGGACUCGAACGAGAUGGUAGACAUAUCCCUUUGAUAUUAUUUUUCUUUCCCGAAGGUAAGAAACAAACUGACCAUGUUGAGACUGAAAUUGAAACUGGACAAUUCUAUUUCUGCAGCUGACUGAGGCAUAUAAGGAAUGAAGCCGAUCCAUGUUGAGAAUGACAUCAAAAUCAAUCAUCUCUAAUUCGAGGAAUUCUGCUGACCUGAAUUUCUGAGAUAUCAUAAUUGAAUAGUUCCUGUAUUCUCGUCGGGCUACGAUAUAUUUACCCACUGGGAUAGAGACUGAGAAAGGCUCUGCUAGAAUUUCUAGACUGACUCCAAAAUCAACUACUAUAUAAGGAGUCACAAAUAACAAGAAAGCUCCUGGAUCUAGCAAAGCCUAAAUAUUCAAAUGAUAAACUUGUAACAUACCAGUGACCACAUCAGGAGAACUUUUUUGAUCCUGUUGGGACUGAAGAGCAUAGAAUCUAUUUGAGCACUACCCACUGGUGGCACUGGAUGAGGCACCUUGCCGAUUUGGGUGGUCGGACUGAGCUGGGGGAUGGGUAUGCUGACUAUACAAACCCACCUGAGGACACUGUCUGACUAUGUGGCCUGGCUUGCUAUAUUUGAAACUCACAUCCUUGCCAGCUCUGCAGAUACCUUGGUGGUUUCUGCUAUACUUCUGGCAAAGGGGAUUGGUUUGGGCACUGCUAACACUGCCCUGAGGCUUAAGGCUUGAUGCCCUAUCUCUGUUGCCAUCUCCGAAUUUCAGCUUUGGCACAGUGGCUAAGAACAGAGCUGGAACUGAGGAUUUUGGGCAGAACUAAGAAUGAUUCCCACCCUCUGACUUAGGCUGAGCAAAGCUGAAACUAGCUAUCCUCACUCUGUUGCUCCCCCUCUCCUUCUCUUUAAUCUUGGCCUUCUUUAUUUAUUGAGCAUGGACCAUAAUCCUGGAUAUGUCCAUCUCCUUUAUCAGCAUUGCGGUCCUGCACUCUUUGACCACAUUGCUAGACACCCAUGAUACAAACUUACUCAUCGUAGAUCUGCUAUCUGCCACAACAUGCAGGGCAUAUCUGGCCAAUUGAGUAAACUUGAGAAAAUACUCCUGCACUGUCAUAUUACCCUACUUCAGGUUGAUAAACUCUAAAACUUUCAUUUCCCUCAACUCUAGUAGGAAGAACCUAUCCAGAAAAGCAACUGCAAACUCCUCCCAUUCCAUGGGCCCUGUAUUAGCGGCCCUCUCUGCUUUCCAUUGUUUGAACUAUGAGCGAGACACAUCUUAUAAUUGAUAUGAGACCAACUCAACAUUGUCAGCAGCAGUCAUCCCCAUGAUAUCUAUAACCUUCUACACCUGAUCAAGAAAUUCCUGAGGGUCCUCAUUUGACUUAGACCCGGUAAACGAUGGAGGGUUCAUUUGGGUGAAGUCCUAAAUCCUCGAAGCAAUAGUAUUAGCCACUGGGUUGGUCGGAAUGGAAGCUGGGCAUUUAUUUUGGGCUACUACAGAAUGAGAUAGGGUGGUGAAGGCUGCUCUGAACUCCGUAUGGGAGACAUGCUCACCCAAAGAAUCUGGAUGGACGGGCUGACUGGUCUCCCAUUUCUCUUCCCUGAGUUCUCUUUGGAGGCAUAUUCUGUAAAUGGAAGAGAAGCUAAGAUUAGAAAGAGAGUGUAACUGGAGCUCAUGCUCACCCGCACAACAUGGAUACUGAAAAAAAAGAAAACUUUUCCAAAAACAUCUCAUAGCCUCCUAUCCAUAAGUGUGUCGCGUAAUACACCUAUGCACAAAACUCUACUAGAUGCGGCUUUUAGACUUCCUAGGACACUGUUGAACCUUAGGCUCUGAUACCAAGUUUGUAACGCCCCGAGUCUAUACCCUAAACGCUCCAUGGUGCUCAUAAUGUUGAAGGACCAUAAGCUAACCCAUAACUGGUACCUGCUGCAAUAACUAUGUAAUAAAUACUAUAAUGAUUGUGGAAAUAGACAAAAAAACAUAUGCCAUCAGGUUCACAUCUGUAAAUAAAUCUGAAUAUAAGUACUGAAAAACUGAACAACUGUCUGAAAAUACUUUAGUCUGAAAAGCCUCCAACUGUCUGAACUGUGGAGUUGAUGGAACAAGCCCCCAACUAACUCCAUCUACUAAAAUAAAAUUGAAUUACUAUAAAUAAUAAUCAUGUCCUUGAAUUAUAAGGACUCACCACUACCCUAAAAGCUGAGAAUCUGAACAGCUAAGGGUACUCUGGAGCCCGUGCAUUUGAACCUAUGAUAUAAGACAUCAUAGCGCAAAGAAAAACAUGCGUCAGUACUUUGAAUGUACUGGUAUGCUCAGUGAGGUAGGCUGAAAUGCAUGGUUUCAUAUGCAUGCACAAUAAUAAUUGAAUAACAUGAGUAUGACUGAGUAAGAGUACAUGCAUAAAUAUAUAGACUAUAAUUGAGAUCGUGCUAAUACUGAGUACUGAAUCUGAAUAUUGAUAACAGAUAUCUGAGUUUAUGAAUACAGUAUUACUGAUUAUUUAAAUAACUAUAUCUAACAGUUUUGAAUACUAUGGAACCAUACUGAAUUUCAUAUUGAGCUGAGUGACUAUGUCUGAUAGUCCUGAAUUUGUAGAACUGAACUGAGUUUUAUUCUUAAACUGAGACUGUGGGAGGUAAUCAUCUAAUCGACAUGCCCCUUUCUAAACUGAUUGAGGUACAACCUGUAACCCCAGUUGGAAGGGUGCCAAUAUCGUAUCAUGGGUAAGGACAAGCUGUGAGUUAACCCUCUCUGAUAGAAAGCUCUUCUGUCAACCCUCGCUGGUAGGAUAACUCGAAUGAGAUAUAUCAAUCCUUAAUAUAUUUUGCAGAAAGAUAUCUCAACCUACACUGGCUACACAGUUCUGUAAUACAGGGAUUGCUAUUAAGGGUCAAACCCUCUGCUGGCAGGAAUGUCCCCAUCCCUGGGUUAACUCGAUUCUGAAUCCUACUCCCAACUGAAUAAACACUGAACUAAUUCUAGUCUGUACUAGGAUGGACUGAGUUGUUACUGAUAUUGUUGUUUAACUGAAUUGGGUACAUUGAGUUCCAUGGACUAUCGAAAACUACUAAAUUCUAUUAACUGACUGAGUUUAUCGAGGUCUGGACAGAGUAUUGAACUAGACUGGAAGAAUACUGAGUCUACUGAGUUUUUCCUGAGUUCUGUAACUGACUGAGAGUACUACUGAUAGUGACGUAACUGUUACUGUACUAUGACUGACCAUGGCUCUAAAUAUCAGCUAAAUUAUCGAGUAUAAGUACCCCCAGGACUCGAUAGCACAAAAUAAGAGAUAUGACAUAAACUUGAAACAUGUAAACUAAGCAUUUGAUCAUUCUUCAUUCAUUGGGGCAUUUUAACAAACACUUGCAUGUCAUGAACUUAAACACAUGCUAACAUGAUAUAACUUCACUAUUCAACUCACAUGCUUAAUUCAUCAGUCACUUGAAAGGCAUAAAUUAUGCACAUAGUACUAAUCAACAUGUAAGCACACAAUUUCAAUAUUAAAUUCACCCUUUGAAGGAUUUAGCAUGAUUUCACAUGGUAACAUAUAUAAAUUAAUUAACUCCACAUGAAAUUGAUCAUGAAACAUGGAUUUGAAACCCAAUUAAUCAUUUUUAAACAUAGAUAUUAUCAAACCCAAUAUGGAAUUCAUAUACUUCGAGUCUAAAAUUGUUUCUUGGAUUCCAAGGGUGGAAGGGACCCUUGGAUGAACACUUCACAUACCUUAGUUAAGGAAUUUCUAAAAAUUGAUGGUAGAAUCUUGAGUUCUUGAUUUGAAAUUGAAUCUUCUAGUAUUUUGUUCUUGAGCAAUUUUGAAAAAAGAUGAGUUUAAUUUCUCUCUAAGUGAUAAAUUUUGUGUUUUGGGGGUUGAAGGUUGAAGGAAAAAGACCAAAAUACCCCCAAUGAUGCAGUCUUUUAAUGACUGAAAAACUGUACCAUCGACGCACAGACCGACGCACCGCAUCAUUGGCAUCAAUGUGAUAGCCAACGCGUUAUAUCGAUUCCACGUCGACUCACUAGAAAUUGAUGCUGAGAGUUGGGAAUGAUAUUUAUCAAAGCGAUAGUCGAUGCGGCGCACCAAGAUCGUGUUGAUCCACUAUUUUAGGAUUCUAAAGGUGCUUCAAAUGAUGUCCAAAAAAUCCAAAACUUGUCCGAGAACACCUAUGUACAUUCCUGAUCGUGAAUCAACCUAAAUAUCCACCUAUAAUGGAUGUAAAGGCCAUGAAAUAAGAUUGCCAACUUUUAAAGGCUAGAAUGACACUAAGUCUGAAUACUUAGCUAGAAUAUUCUACGUUUGGGACCCCUUAACAAGAUUAGAGGACUGAAUUAAGCUAAGGAUUUUGUGGGGUCAUACAGUAUUUUGGAAUAUUUUGGUUCAGCUUCAGCUUCGGGAUAUUUCUAAACUCACACCGAGGGUAACCUUCUCUUUCUUUCAAAUUCGAGUGACAACAUACUUAGAGUUUUGGAAAUUACAUCCAGGUAAGUUCUUGCCUAUAGAUGUGAAGGAUCCCACAGUCAUGGUUAAGAGGUUACAAGACUCUUUUCCUCAACUCAAUUAACUUAUCACUCCUCCCGAUCCAAAGAUCAUCUGAAAUAAAAAACUAUCUUUUCUACCAAUUGAGUUAAACUACAAGUAGUCUAAUUCCUUGAGUCUAAACAAUAUGUAGGCUGGGCUUUAUAUAGAAAACUCGACUGCAUUCCAACCUUACCUCCCAAUUUGCUUAUUCCCCAACUUUUUGAUUUCACUAAAAUUUAAAAAUCGAGAUAGCUUGUGAUUUCUUUGAAAAUCAUGCUUUAAGUCAAGCUUUUUGAACUAAAAAUGGCCUGAAUUCUCAUAUAACCUGAGAUAUAUAGGAAAAUCGAUAUCAGGGUCCAGCCAUAACUCUACAAAAAUUAUGCGUAAACCAAUCUCUUUCAGAAAUGAAUUUGUGGUUGAAUAAAAAUUUAGAAUGUCAAACUCCCUUUGCCCAUGGUUACUUGUUGUAUUCACCUAACCCAAAGAGAGGGGUAGUUGUUGACACCUAAUUUUUUUCCUCCACGACUUAAUUUAAUCCUGGGUUACUUUAGUUCUUAAUAAAAUUAAAAUAGUUAUUUCAUCUAGAUAAAUGCGCUCCAAAAUACUUUUUUGGCUUAAUUUCAUUAUUUAAGUGAUGAUUAUACAUUUUCAUAUUCACAUAUACGAAAUUGUAUGAAUUUUGUUACUUAAAUGAACAAUUUUAUCAAAAUUGGACUUUUAGUGAGAUAGACCGUGAAAAUUAAUUCAAAUGGGUAAUAUCUUGAUUUAAAUACAAUUUGUUCUUGACAAGAAUUUAUUUGAAAAAAAUAUUUACUUGAUUUUUAUUAAAUCAAGAAGCCCGAUAUUAAAUUGAGUGUUAAUUUGUAUCGAAUUGCGAUUUAAUUUAGUCAAUUUAUCAAAUUUGGCCAUGAUUGAAAUCAAAUCGAUCACAAUUGCAGUAUAAUUAAUCGAUUGUUUUUAAAUUAUGGCUAAAAUUUAAAUAAAUUAACUAAAUGAAUAUCUUUGUACUAUUUCAUAAACACACAAAUCCCUAAUUUCUAAUUAACAGCAACCCAACAAAUAAUGAAACUCGCCAGCCCCAAACUACCGCCCCAACCUACUUUACCAGGUCCAACAAUAGACCUGACCCACUGGCCCAAUUCCCUUUUCCUUACCUAUAAGCCAACAACGAAAAACAGUAAAAGAACCCGUUAAUAACAACUUCCAUUAACGAUCAACAAUAACAAACACUGACAAUUCGAUGCUGAAAAUCUGACUCCGAUUUAGCUUUAAUCGAAUAAUGGCAACCUGUCCAACACAAUUUGAGAUCGACUUGAUUGUUUCCCACUCGUCACAUGCUCGCCCCACAUGGAUUCAUACGAGAAAAGCCAAGAAUCUUUUAAAAAUUAAUGAGUUGGCUCAUCCAAUGUUUAAAUUCAUUGUUUUUGGAAUAGAAUCAUAUAAAUUCAUACGUAUUUGUGCGAAUUCUAUUGGUUUAUUGCGAUUAUUCCUUUUCCCCAAUUUUCAUUGGCCGCCCCAUUCAAAUCUCUCCAAGAAAAUCCAAAAUCAGUACAAGAAUGACGACAAUAUUCUGCUAUCAUCCAAAAAUAUUGAAAAUAUCUCAUUUUGCAAUUCUGAAAUUACCCCGUUUCCCUCUUUUUCCACUUCAGCUGAAACUUUAAUUCACUCCUAAUCUUGUGUUCUAUAAAAAUCUCACUGUGGAGCAAUAAAAGGACAAGUCUUGAAAGUUAGAGAAAAAUCUCUCAAGAAAAGUUCUUUUUUGGUAAAUUUUUUUUGUGAAAUUCGUCGACUAAUCGAAGUUCUCGAAUUGACGGCAACGCUUUUCGGUGGUGGUCGAGCUUCCGUUGCAGUCUCGAAUCUUAUUUUGCUACUCCAAAAUAGGUAAUGCUUCAUCCCAUUUAGUUUUGGUGUUUUGUUUUUCUUCUUCUUUUUGAUUAUUCUGUAGUAAUAUUUGCUAUCUUAGUAGUGUUGUACGCUGAUAGUAUUAGUAUUAUAUGUCGGGAUUUGUUUGCUGUAGAAUCCUUAAAGGCCAUAGAAUUUUUGUGAUAUGUAUUAUAGUGUUUAAAUGCGAAUCUACUGAUUUUCUUUGAUACUUUGUUCGAACCAGUGUUCGUUGGGUCUGGUUUGUAAUUUCCUAUUUUACUUUAGCAUAUUGUUUGGUUUAUUAUCUCCAUUUUUAUGUUUUUGAUAGUAUUCUUAGCUCAUAUGUUUGUUGUUGUAAGUUGUGGUUCCCGAUUUCAACUUAAUUGCCCCCUUAUUCUAGUUAUCGAUAUAUUAUUCCAAGCUUGAAUGUUAUUUUUUUGUGUGGUAUAUUUUUUUGUGCGGUAUGAGUUCACUGUUUUGGCUUAUGAUGCUGGAAGAAUGGGCGUGUUAUUAUACUUUCCUUGAGAGGUAUGUGUAUUGUAUUUUGGUCUUGACUUAUGUGUUGAAUGUGUAAAUCUGAUCAUUGAAAAAAAAAUCUGUAACGUGUCCUUUAUUUUAGUGUCAUCAAUAAGACUUGUUAAAUCCAUUAUGUUUAAAGGCCUUUCCUAGUUCCCUGCAUUAGCAUAGGAUUUUAAGACGCAUGCAACAAUCUUUUCUUGCCUCCAUCUUAGUUUUCUCGAUGAUAUGGGAGAAGCAAAAAAUAAGAUAGGCUAUCACCAUAACUCAUCCUUAUUUUCUAGUCCUUCGUCCCAAUGAGAUAUUGGGAAGCAAUUCAUCAGGUGUGAUUUUCUCCAUGAAUGUCACUUUGACUAAACACACUUUCUUUUUUAGGUCGCACAUAUUUCUCUUAAAGCUCGUUUUUUUUCCAGGUUUGUUUCAUCACAUAAACAAUGGUCCAGAAAUUUUGUUUUGAAUUGGUGUUGUGUGUGAUUUUCUUAAUCUUCCUAAAAGAAGUAACUUAAGUUUUCUUGUUUAAACAUGAUGGAGAAGCUGAUUUGUUUCCUGGAAAUUAUAAACUAAAUUGAUAUUUGACAUGAUGCAGUUUUUUCUUUACUGUCUCAACAACAAAUAAUUGGAGUAAAAGGUUCUAUUAUCCCCUUAGUGUCACUACUUUGCUCUUUUACUCCCAAAUUAUUAGCCUCCCUCAUGCGUUAAUUAGUAUUAAUAGUGAAAAUUUGAUUUUUUUUUUACUUUCCUUACAUUUUGAUUAUCUUUAUGAAAAUUUGAGUACUCCCCUUUUUCCUUUACAUGAGCAAAUGUUUUAAAGUUAACUAGGAGUGUUGAGAGUAUUUCAAACCUUUGUACUAUUUUGCUGAAGUUAUUCAUAUGCUUUAGAAUAUGGCACUCGAUUAAUCAUAGAUAUAAAUAUUUAUGUAAAACCUUAUUGAUUGAUUAUUCUUUCCAACUAUAUGGAUGCAUUUACUACUUUCUAUUUGACUCCUAUACGCGAGUUUUGUUGCACGUUUCUUAGAUUAUUUUAAUUAUUUUUUAGAUUACAUGAUAAUUUCUUUAUAUUUUCUUUUUCUUUCUUUUUAUGUGGAUACGCUCGAAUCCUCUAUGGACUCUUUUCUCUCUUUGCAUCUUCUCUAUGGGCCCUUGAGGCCCGUCUCUCCCCUUAUCAGUUUGGAAAGACAAUCAUAUAGUGCAUGGAUACGAAGAGUUGGAACAUGGAAAAAUGGGUCAAAGGCCCUUUGUUGAAGUAGCUAAGCGACCUACAAGUCUCAUAUUUUUCUUAGUGUUGCUUUACUUGUCUUUACUCAUUUAGUUAUCUGUUUAUUCAUUCAUUUGGGGUCUCGAAGCGAAAGUUAUAUAAUUAAUACAGGUUAAGCAGGUUCUAGGCCAAAGGGUUCGAAAAGAUAGUUUAGGACUGGUUAUGGGCCAAAAGCAUAAUAUUUAGAUUAGGACAGGUAAAAAUUGGCCAAAAACCCAAAUGAAUAGUUUAGGACAGGUACAAUUGGGUUUUGGCAUAAAAGCCUAAAUCUCUUUUUCCCCUUUACCCCUUUAUAUGUUUAUUUGCCAUUUAUCCCUUCACACUUAGUUAAAUUCUCUAUUAAGCCAUCAAAAAACUGAUUUUCCAUAAACCUCAAUAAAUAUUUUCUUAAUCAAUUUCAUUUCAAAAACCAACUUCUUUUCUUAAGGUUAGUCAAAGAACUGUUUUCAAAUAGUACGGACAACCGCAAGUUAGCAGAAUACUCUUGGUGCUUUAACAAUCUUCCAAGAGUAUUAAUAGGAAUCACUUACCCAAAAUUUCUAACUUAAAUGAUUUUUUCUGUUUUGAAUCAUUUAAAUAAUUUCUAAAGGGUUUUCUUAAUUUUCCUAAAUAAAUUGUCGACUCUAAAGUCAUUUUUCCAUAAAAUAGGUAUAUGUUAUGAUGGUUGAUCUACACAAUCCAGGCUAAAGUUUUAAGUGCAUAUUAAACCUUGUUCCUUAUCCCGACAUGUGAAGUAUAUAUGUAUACGCAUUGGUUUUUAAUGAUUUUAAACUGUUGAUCAUGUCAUUAUGUUAUCCUUAUCCUCAAGUUACAUGCUAGCAUCACCCUGCUAACCGUCUUCGGACGUUGUUUUUCCAUGCGACGCAGGAAUUGGCCAUACUUCAAGUACUCCUGCUUAGUGAUUGGGAUUCGAGAUCAACUUGUGAGUUGACAUUGAAGUGGUGCAGAGGGUGAUUUCUGGUCCACGGGGGACUUGAAAUACCCGUCACACCAGGCCAUGGUUCAGGUCGUGAUAUAUAAGAUGGUUGAUGAGUUAAUCAUGAUGAUAUAUGAAUGAUACACAAGCUGGAAAUUAGUUGAAAACAACAUUACAAGGCUUGGAAUGUAUGGGGAAAAGCAUGGGAUAAGACUUGAUUGAAAAUGGACGUUUUGGAGUCAUUGGCGAGCCAUGGACCUUAGCCACUGCUUUAGGGUCCACGCCAUGCCCUUGGGGGCAUCCUAAGUGACCAAUUCAGGUGUUUCACUAUGCUAAGGACAUGCCACAGACCCCAGGAACCACGAUACGUGGCAUGGCAUGGGCCUAAGCUCAAAUCGACAACUUGUGUCCUCCUAUAAAUGGGACCCUUAAACAUUAUGUUACACACCUUGGACGACCUUAAAACUUUGAGGGAGGAUGGAGAACACUUUAAUUAGAGUUUUUCUUCCAUUACUUUGGUUUGUUUAUGGUUUUUAACAUGUAUUCAAUCAUUGCAAUUAUGGUUAUGUCCAUGAGCGGCAAAGCACCAUUUUUUGGGGUUAAGGCUAAGAACAUGAUUAAUCUUGUUAUGAGUUGAUUUGGUUUUGAUUA
This is a long non-coding RNA of Capsicum annuum, 11190 nucleotides long. RefSeq lists it as uncharacterized. NCBI's taxonomy places the organism in Eukaryota, Viridiplantae, Streptophyta, Magnoliopsida, Solanales, Solanaceae. The record is from RefSeq and is a predicted model, not a curated record. The transcript is spliced from 2 exons.